This 438-nucleotide ribosomal RNA is filed under the name uncultured bacterium. RNAcentral describes it as "partial 16S ribosomal RNA". It matches the Rfam family "Bacterial small subunit ribosomal RNA", at positions 339 to 795 of the family's 1533-position model. The record is from RNAcentral.
CUACGGGAGGCUGCAGUGGGGAAUUUUGCGCAAUGGGCGAAAGCCUGACGCAGCAACGCCGCGUGCGGGAUGAAGGCCUUCGGGUCGUAAACCGCUUUCAGCAGGGAAGAAGUUGACUGUACCUGCAGAAGAAGCUCCGGCUAACUACGUGCCAGCAGCCGCGGUAAUACGUAGGGAGCGAGCGUUAUCCGGAUUUAUUGGGCGUAAAGCGCGCGUAGGCGGCUUGCCAAGCGGGAUCUCAAAACCGAGGGCUCAACCCCCGGACGGAUCCCGAACUGGCAGGCUCGAGUUCGGUAGGGGAAGAUGGAAUUCCCAGUGUAGCGGUGAAAUGCGCAGAGAUUGGGAAGAACACCGAUGGCGAAGGCAGUCUUCUGGGCCGCAACUGACGCUGAGGUGCGAAAGCUAGGGGAGCGAACAGGAUUAGAUACCCUGGUAGUC